GAUGAAGAACGUAGCGAAAUGCGAUAAGUAAUGUGAAUUGCAGAAUUCAGUGAAUCAUCGAAUCUUUGAACGCACCUUGCGCCCUUUGGCUAUUCCGAAGGGCAUGCCUGUUUGAGUAUCGUGAACACCUCAACUCUCAUGGUUUGCCAUGAUGAGCUUGGACUUUGGGGGUUUUGCUGGCCUUUGGUCGGCUCCUCUCAAACGGAUCAGCUUUCCAGUGUUUGGUGGCGUCGCGGGUGUGAUAACUAUCUACGCCUGUGGUUUUCUGCCAGAUAACCUUCAGCGAUGGAGGUUCGCUGGGGCUCAUAAAUGUCUCUCUUCAGUGGAGACAGCUUUUUGGACGUUUGAUCUCAAAUCAGGUAGGACUACCCGCUGAACUUAAGCAUAUCAAUAAGCGGAGGA
Molecule: unclassified non-coding RNA, 402 nt
Filed under: soil metagenome
Description: partial contains 5.8S ribosomal RNA, internal transcribed spacer 2, and large subunit ribosomal RNA
Rfam family: 5.8S ribosomal RNA (bases 1-121)
Source: RNAcentral